AUGGAGAGAUAUAGGGAGCAAAAGAAGGACUUGCAUAUGGGGUUCAUUGACUUGGAGAAGGCCUAUGAUAAGAUACCACGGAAUGUCAUGUGGUGGGCCUUGGAGAAACACAAAGUCCCAGCAAAGUACAUUACCCUCAUCAAGGACAUGUACGAUAAUGUUGUGACAAGUGUUCGAACAAGUGAUGUCAACACUGACGACUUCCCGAUUAAGAUAGGACUGCAUCAGGGGUCAGCUUUGAGCCCUUAUCUUUUUGCAUUGGUGAUGGAUGAGGUCACAAGGGAUAUACAAGGAGAUAUCCCAUGGUGUAUGCUCUUUGCGGAUGAUGUGGUGCUAGUUGACGAUAGUCGGACAGGGGUAAAUAGG
RNAcentral lists this ribosomal RNA (366 nucleotides) under Triticum aestivum (bread wheat). RNAcentral's name for it is "partial small subunit ribosomal RNA". Lineage: Eukaryota; Viridiplantae; Streptophyta; Magnoliopsida; Poales; Poaceae. The record is from RNAcentral.